RNAcentral lists this long non-coding RNA (281 nucleotides) under Chlamydomonas reinhardtii. Its description in RNAcentral is "long non-coding RNA (CREI_LNC000890)". The record is from RNAcentral. Lineage: Eukaryota; Viridiplantae; Chlorophyta; Chlorophyceae; Chlamydomonadales; Chlamydomonadaceae.
UCCCUUCGGCUCCCUUCUCAAACGCAGCUUCAGCGAAAUCUACAGCCUGCCCGACUCCCGGCGUGUGCGGCCUUCCGCCCGCCUUCCAAAACGCAACAGCCCUCGCCUCUCCUCGCCAGCCGCUCACAGCCGAAACUCUGCUUCUUUCUUAAUCAGCCACAAACAUCAGCCACAAACAAUGCCUCGGAAACAACACCUCGGAAACUUCCUCCCAUCUAGUGCGCGGCCACAGCUCCCCUACCGAACGUCGCAGCACCUAUCCUCACCAUCAGCAACGCUUC